GACGAACGCUGGCGGCGUGCCUAAUACAUGCAAGUAGAACGCACAGUUUAUACCGUAGCUUGCUACACCAUAGACUGUGAGUUGCGAACGGGUGAGUAACGCGUAGGUAACCUGCCUGGUAGCGGGGGAUAACUAUUGGAAACGAUAGCUAAUACCGCAUAAUAUUAAUUAUUGCAUGAUAAUUAAUUGAAAGGUUCAAUUGCACCACUACCAGAUGGACCUGCGUUGUAGUAGCUAGUAGGUGAGGUAACGGCUCACCUAGGCGACGAUACAUAGCCGACCUGGAGGGGGGAUCGGCCCACCUGGGACUGAGGCACGGCCCAGAACCCUUAGGGAGGCAGCAGGAGGGGAUCUUCGGGAAUGGACGAAAGGCUGAACGAGGCACGCCGCGUGAGUGAAGGAGGGUUUCGGAUCGUAAAGCUCUGUUGUAAGAGAAGAAAGGAAGGGGGAGUGGAAAGUGCACACUGUGACGGUAUCUUACCAGAAAGCGACGGCUAACUACGUG
This 505-nucleotide ribosomal RNA is filed under the name uncultured bacterium. RNAcentral describes it as "partial 16S ribosomal RNA". It matches the Rfam family "Bacterial small subunit ribosomal RNA", at positions 28 to 507 of the family's 1533-position model. The record is from RNAcentral.